UAUCACUACAGUCCAACCUGAAUAUGCCUAAUCUCAUCUGAGCUCGGAAGCUAAGCAGGGUCAGGCCUGGUUAAUACUUGGAUGGGAGACCCAUACCCUUGUUAAUGUGAAAA
This 113-nucleotide ribosomal RNA is filed under the name Sorex araneus (European shrew). The record is from RNAcentral. Lineage: Eukaryota; Metazoa; Chordata; Mammalia; Eulipotyphla; Soricidae.